RNAcentral lists this unclassified non-coding RNA (190 nucleotides) under rhizosphere metagenome. RNAcentral describes it as "partial ribosomal RNA internal transcribed spacer region". The record is from RNAcentral.
GAGAACUUGCCCUUCGGGGUAGAUCUCCCACCCUUUGUUUACCCUACCAUUGUUGCUUUGGCAGGCCCGUCCCCCGGGACCGCCGGCUUCGGCUGGCCCGCGCCUGUCAGAGGACCCCAAACUCUUGUUUAAUUGUCGUCUGAGUAUUAUUUAAUAAGUUAAAACUUUCAACAACGGAUCUCUUGGUUCU